UAAAAUUCUUUAAUAACAUCGUCAAGUUCUGUCGUUUCAGCCAUGGCUGGCUCGGUUCGGUCUUUCUUCUUCACUAUUUCGUUUGUCUUACCUGUCAGCUCACAACCGCCUCUGCCACGUUAGUAAAAGUACAGUGUAUGCUGGAGACUACAACAUUGAUCCAUAUUUGAUUUGCUGUUUUUGAAUCACAGAAAAAAAAGAAAGAAAAGAAAAAAAGAAGAAAAAAAAACAAACAAAAAAGCAGUGAGAUGAUAACCAUUUAUCCAUAAUAGUUGACUCUUGUAAACAUUGCCAUGAAUAAAUUCCGCUAUCGCAUAUAUAACCAUA
Molecule: long non-coding RNA, 327 nt
Organism: Octopus sinensis (East Asian common octopus)
Lineage: Eukaryota; Metazoa; Mollusca; Cephalopoda; Octopoda; Octopodidae
Exons: 3
Source: RefSeq, a predicted model, not a curated record